GCCAGACUCCUACGGGAGGCAGCAGUGAGGAAUAUUGGUCAAUGGUCGGGAGACUGAACCAGCCAAGCCGCGUGAGGGAGGAAGGUACAGAGUAUCGUAAACCUCUUUUGUCAGGGAACAAAGGCGGGGACGUGUCCCCGGAUGAGUGUACCUGAUUAAGAAGCCCCGGCUAACUACGUGCCAGCAGCCGCGGUAAUACGUAGGGGGCAAGCGUUAUCCGGAUUUACUGGGUGUAAAGGGAGCGUAGACGGCAGCGCAAGUCUGAAGUGAAAUGCCGGGGCUUAACCCCGGAACUGCUUUGGAAACUGUGCAGCUAGAGUGCAGGAGAGGUAAGUGGAAUUCCUAGUGUAGCGGUGAAAUGCGUAGAUAUUAGGAGGAACACCAGUGGCGAAGGCGGCCUACUGGACUGUAACUGACGUUGAGGCUCGAAAGCGUGGGGAGCAAACAGGAUUAGAUACCCCAGUA
Molecule: ribosomal RNA, 465 nt
Filed under: uncultured bacterium
Lineage: Bacteria
Description: bacterial SSU rRNA
Rfam family: Bacterial small subunit ribosomal RNA
Source: RNAcentral